GAUGAAGAACGUAGCGAAAUGCGAUAAGUAAUGUGAAUUGCAGAAUUCAGUGAAUCAUCGAAUCUUUGAACGCACAUUGCGCCCGCCAGUAUUCUGGCGGGCAUGCCUGUCCGAGCGUCAUUUCAACCCUCGAACCCCUCCGGGGGGUCGGCGUUGGGGACCUCGGGAGCCCCUAAGACGGGAUCCCGGCCCCGAAAUACAGUGGCGGUCUCGCCGCAGCCUCUCCUGCGCAGUAGUUUGCACAACUCGCACCGGGAGCGCGGCGCGUCCACGUCCGUAAAACACCCAACUUCUGAAAUGUUGACCUCGGAUCAGGUAGGAAUACCCGCUGAACUUAAGCAUAUCAUAAGCGGAGGA
RNAcentral lists this unclassified non-coding RNA (357 nucleotides) under soil metagenome. RNAcentral describes it as "partial contains 5.8S ribosomal RNA, internal transcribed spacer 2, and large subunit ribosomal RNA". The stretch from base 1 to 120 matches the Rfam family "5.8S ribosomal RNA", at positions 35 to 154 of the family's 154-position model. The record is from RNAcentral.